This 180-nucleotide ribosomal RNA is filed under the name uncultured bacterium. Its description in RNAcentral is "partial 16S ribosomal RNA". It matches the Rfam family "Bacterial small subunit ribosomal RNA", at positions 596 to 775 of the family's 1533-position model. The record is from RNAcentral.
GAAAUUCCGGGGCUCAACCCCGGACCUGCAUUUGAAACUGUUGGUCUUGAGUAUCGGAGAGGCAGGCGGAAUUCCUAGUGUAGCGGUGAAAUGCGUAGAUAUUAGGAGGAACACCAGUGGCGAAGGCGGCUCACUGGACUGUAACUGACGUUGAGGCUCGAAAGCGUGGGGAGCAAACAG